UACGGAGGGGGCAAGCGUUAUCCGGAUUCACUGGGCGUAAAGCGUCCGCAGCCGGUUUAAUAAGUCUACUUUCAAAUGCCGUAGCUCAACUACGGAAAGGGAGUGGAUACUGUUUUACUAGAGAAAGAUAGGGGGUAGUAGAAUUUCCAGUGGAGGAGUGAAAUCCGUUGAUAUUGGAAGGAAUACCAAAAGCGAAGGCAGCUACCUAUAUCUUUUCUGACGGUCAGGGACGAAAGUCUGGGUAGCAAACGGG
This 253-nucleotide unclassified non-coding RNA is filed under the name uncultured Candidatus Peregrinibacteria bacterium. RNAcentral's name for it is "contains 16S-23S intergenic spacer region". It matches the Rfam family "Bacterial small subunit ribosomal RNA", at positions 524 to 776 of the family's 1533-position model. The record is from RNAcentral. Lineage: Bacteria; Candidatus Peregrinibacteriota.